Uranotaenia lowii is the source of this 208-nucleotide small nucleolar RNA. RefSeq annotates it as small nucleolar RNA U3. The transcript has a single exon. NCBI's taxonomy places the organism in Eukaryota, Metazoa, Arthropoda, Insecta, Diptera, Culicidae. The record is from RefSeq and is a predicted model, not a curated record.
AAGACUGUGCUUCACAGGAUCAUUUCUGUAGGCAAGUUUUCAUCACAAGUUUUUUCCUAACGGAAAAGAUUUCCCACCCACGAUGAUGACCAGCAGUGUCUAGUCUGGAGCGUGAAACUGUGGCGGAAUCGGACAGAUCGAAUCGAACUGGCCAUCCGUCGUCUGAAGAUCGGCUCUCUUGCAAAGACUUAGACGCAUUCUGAGUGGU